Molecule: ribosomal RNA, 623 nt
Filed under: uncultured bacterium
Lineage: Bacteria
Description: bacterial SSU rRNA
Rfam family: Bacterial small subunit ribosomal RNA (bases 1-525)
Source: RNAcentral
CCUACGGGAGGCAGCAGUGGGGAAUCUUGCGCAAUGGGCGAAAGCCUGACGCAGCCAUGCCGCGUGAAUGAUGAAGGUCUUAGGAUUGUAAAAUUCUUUCAGUAGGGACGAUAAUGACGGUACCUACAGAAGAAGCCCCGGCUAACUUCGUGCCAGCAGCCGCGGUAAUACGAAGGGGGCUAGCGUUGCUCGGAAUUACUGGGCGUAAAGGGAGCGUAGGCGGGUUAUCAAGUUGGAGGUGAAAGCCCAGGGCUCAACCUUGGAAUUGCCUUCAAAACUGAUAGCCUAGAGUAUGAUAGAGGUAUGUGGAACUCCGAGUGUAGAGGUGAAAUUCGUAGAUAUUCGGAAGAACACCAGUGGCGAAGGCGACAUACUGGGUCAUGACUGACGCUGAGGCUCGAAAGCGUGGGGAGCAAACAGGAUUAGAUACCCUGGUAGUCCACGCUGUAAACGAUGAUUGNUAGUUGUCGGACGGCGAUGCCGUUCGGUGGUACGCGAGCGUACGACAUAAGUACGACUACCGCCGUCGGGGUAGGUACGGUCGGCGAAGUAAGUUAAACGUUAACGUUAAAGGAAGUUAGUUACGGCGUGAGACGNGCGACGGACGACGACGAGGGAGGAGG